Molecule: ribosomal RNA, 2916 nt
Filed under: Staphylococcus aureus
Lineage: Bacteria; Bacillati; Bacillota; Bacilli; Caryophanales; Staphylococcaceae
Description: bacterial LSU rRNA
Rfam family: Bacterial large subunit ribosomal RNA
Source: RNAcentral
UUAAGUUAUUAAGGGCGCACGGUGGAUGCCUUGGCACUAGAAGCCGAUGAAGGACGUUACUAACGACGAUAUGCUUUGGGGAGCUGUAAGUAAGCUUUGAUCCAGAGAUUUCCGAAUGGGGAAACCCAGCAUGAGUUAUGUCAUGUUAUCGAUAUGUGAAUACAUAGCAUAUCAGAAGGCACACCCGGAGAACUGAAACAUCUUAGUACCCGGAGGAAGAGAAAGAAAAUUCGAUUCCCUUAGUAGCGGCGAGCGAAACGGGAAGAGCCCAAACCAACAAGCUUGCUUGUUGGGGUUGUAGGACACUCUAUACGGAGUUACAAAGGACGACAUUAGACGAAUCAUCUGGAAAGAUGAAUCAAAGAAGGUAAUAAUCCUGUAGUCGAAAAUGUUGUCUCUCUUGAGUGGAUCCUGAGUACGACGGAGCACGUGAAAUUCCGUCGGAAUCUGGGAGGACCAUCUCCUAAGGCUAAAUACUCUCUAGUGACCGAUAGUGAACCAGUACCGUGAGGGAAAGGUGAAAAGCACCCCGGAAGGGGAGUGAAAUAGAACCUGAAACCGUGUGCUUACAAGUAGUCAGAGCCCGUUAAUGGGUGAUGGCGUGCCUUUUGUAGAAUGAACCGGCGAGUUACGAUUUGAUGCAAGGUUAAGCAGUAAAUGUGGAGCCGUAGCGAAAGCGAGUCUGAAUAGGGCGUUUAGUAUUUGGUCGUAGACCCGAAACCAGGUGAUCUACCCUUGGUCAGGUUGAAGUUCAGGUAACACUGAAUGGAGGACCGAACCGACUUACGUUGAAAAGUGAGCGGAUGAACUGAGGGUAGCGGAGAAAUUCCAAUCGAACCUGGAGAUAGCUGGUUCUCUCCGAAAUAGCUUUAGGGCUAGCCUCAAGUGAUGAUUAUUGGAGGUAGAGCACUGUUUGGACGAGGGGCCCUCUCGGGUUACCGAAUUCAGACAAACUCCGAAUGCCAAUUAAUUUAACUUGGGAGUCAGAACAUGGGUGAUAAGGUCCGUGUUCGAAAGGGAAACAGCCCAGACCACCAGCUAAGGUCCCAAAAUAUAUGUUAAGUGGAAAAGGAUGUGGCGUUGCCCAGACAACUAGGAUGUUGGCUUAGAAGCAGCCAUCAUUUAAAGAGUGCGUAAUAGCUCACUAGUCGAGUGACACUGCGCCGAAAAUGUACCGGGGCUAAACAUAUUACCGAAGCUGUGGAUUGUCCUUUGGACAAUGGUAGGAGAGCGUUCUAAGGGCGUUGAAGCAUGAUCGUAAGGACAUGUGGAGCGCUUAGAAGUGAGAAUGCCGGUGUGAGUAGCGAAAGACGGGUGAGAAUCCCGUCCACCGAUUGACUAAGGUUUCCAGAGGAAGGCUCGUCCGCUCUGGGUUAGUCGGGUCCUAAGCUGAGGCCGACAGGCGUAGGCGAUGGAUAACAGGUUGAUAUUCCUGUACCACCUAUAAUCGUUUUAAUCGAUGGGGGACGCAGUAGGAUAGGCGAAGCGUGCGAUUGGAUUGCACGUCUAAGCAGUAAGGCUGAGUAUUAGGCAAAUCCGGUACUCGUUAAGGCUGAGCUGUGAUGGGGAGAAGACAUUGUGUCUUCGAGUCGUUGAUUUCACACUGCCGAGAAAAGCCUCUAGAUAGAAAAUAGGUGCCCGUACCGCAAACCGACACAGGUAGUCAAGAUGAGAAUUCUAAGGUGAGCGAGCGAACUCUCGUUAAGGAACUCGGCAAAAUGACCCCGUAACUUCGGGAGAAGGGUGCUCUUUAGGGUUAACGCCCAGAAGAGCCGCAGUGAAUAGGCCCAAGCGACUGUUUAUCAAAAACACAGGUCUCUGCUAAACCGUAAGGUGAUGUAUAGGGGCUGACGCCUGCCCGGUGCUGGAAGGUUAAGAGGAGUGGUUAGCUUCUGCGAAGCUACGAAUCGAAGCCCCAGUAAACGGCGGCCGUAACUAUAACGGUCCUAAGGUAGCGAAAUUCCUUGUCGGGUAAGUUCCGACCCGCACGAAAGGCGUAACGAUUUGGGCACUGUCUCAACGAGAGACUCGGUGAAAUCAUAGUACCUGUGAAGAUGCAGGUUACCCGCGACAGGACGGAAAGACCCCGUGGAGCUUUACUGUAGCCUGAUAUUGAAAUUCGGCACAGCUUGUACAGGAUAGGUAGGAGCCUUUGAAACGUGAGCGCUAGCUUACGUGGAGGCGCUGGUGGGAUACUACCCUAGCUGUGUUGGCUUUCUAACCCGCACCACUUAUCGUGGUGGGAGACAGUGUCAGGCGGGCAGUUUGACUGGGGCGGUCGCCUCCUAAAAGGUAACGGAGGCGCUCAAAGGUUCCCUCAGAAUGGUUGGAAAUCAUUCAUAGAGUGUAAAGGCAUAAGGGAGCUUGACUGCGAGACCUACAAGUCGAGCAGGGUCGAAAGACGGACUUAGUGAUCCGGUGGUUCCGCAUGGAAGGGCCAUCGCUCAACGGAUAAAAGCUACCCCGGGGAUAACAGGCUUAUCUCCCCAAGAGUUCACAUCGACGGGGAGGUUUGGCACCUCGAUGUCGGCUCAUCGCAUCCUGGGGCUGUAGUCGGUCCCAAGGGUUGGGCUGUUCGCCCAUUAAAGCGGUACGCGAGCUGGGUUCAGAACGUCGUGAGACAGUUCGGUCCCUAUCCGUCGUGGGCGUAGGAAAUUUGAGAGGAGCUGUCCUUAGUACGAGAGGACCGGGAUGGACAUACCUCUGGUGUACCAGUUGUCGUGCCAACGGCAUAGCUGGGUAGCUAUGUGUGGACGGGAUAAGUGCUGAAAGCAUCUAAGCAUGAAGCCCCCUCAAGAUGAGAUUUCCCAACUUCGGUUAUAAGAUCCCUCAAAGAUGAUGAGGUUAAUAGGUUCGAGGUGGAAGCAUGGUGACAUGUGGAGCUGACGAAUACUAAUCGAUCGAAGACUUAAUCAA